Long non-coding RNA from Bombus impatiens (common eastern bumble bee), 961 nucleotides. RefSeq lists it as uncharacterized. The transcript has 2 exons. NCBI's taxonomy places the organism in Eukaryota, Metazoa, Arthropoda, Insecta, Hymenoptera, Apidae. The record is from RefSeq and is a predicted model, not a curated record.
CAUAUUAUUUAUAAUGUUUAAUGAUUGACUCCUUAAUACUUGAUGCAUCUACGCAUUAGAUAUUUACGAUGUAUAUAUUGUGUAAUACUAUCAUUUGUGGUUAUAUUAAAUAUCAAUCUAAAGAAAAGUUAAGUAGAAUGAAUUGGAACUGUAUAUGUACUUUAAUACUUACUCGCAAUACAAUUGCGAUUGUUUUAAGUAAAUUUUUUACGUUUUAUAUAAAGAAUCUAUUCCUCCCUCCUUUUUUUUUCUAUUUUCUUAAUUAAUGUUCUUCAAAAAAUAUAUUUUUUUAGUUAUGAAAAUCUUCAUUUCGUUGCAUACAUAUCAAACACAUUUAUCAGUUUUAAAAAUAUAACUACAGUGAUGACUAAUAAAUAUAAAUUGAUAUUUAGUUUCUUAGUUGAAGCCUUAAAGAAGAUACCAGAAACACUUGUAAUCUUUUGUGAUAUAUCAUAUAUUCGUUAAUCUGAUAAUAUUUUAAUAGCGUUAUUAUUAAAUCUAUAUUAUUUAACGCGUUUUUAUAUUCUAUUGUCAUCAUUUAAUUAAUUUGGCUGGCUUAUUAUGUUAAUAUUGUAAUAUUGAUACUAUUUUUGUCGUUUCAUAUUGUUAUCGACCAGUAAAAUUUCAUAACCUAUCGUAAAGUCAUAAAAGGUUGAAUAUUUUACAAUAAAGAUCGAUAACGUACACGCUAUAAAAGACUCUACUACGUUUGAAGUAGAUGUACAUUAAAUUUGUCACUUUUUAAAACAUGAAAAAUAUAAUUGAAAGAUUUGAUGACACAUAUUAUUGAAAACUGUAUAAAAUCUACAAGUAUUGCAAUAUAUACACCUAAUUACUAUUUAAUCUUGGAAUUUGAAUACUGCUAAUGAUAAAGUAUAUAGUACAAGUACUAUCAUAUUGUGCGUUUAUUCACGUUUGAAAUUAAAAGUCAUGAUUUAUUGUUAUCUUUCUACAUAAUGGA